GAUGAAGAACGUAGUGAAAUGCGAUACUUGGUGUGAAUUGCAGAAUCCCGUGAACCAUCGAGUCUUUGAACGCAAGUUGCGCCCGAAGCCACUAGCCCGAGGGCAUGCCUGCCUGGGCGUCACACGCCGUUGCCCCCCCAUCUACUCCUUCGGGAUUGCGGGGGGGCGGAUGAUGGCCUCCCGUGCGCCUAGCCGCGCGGUUGGCAUAAAUACCAAGUCCUCGGCGACGCACGCCACGACAAUCGGUGGUUGCGAAACCUCGGUUGCCCGUCGUGUGCGUUCGUCGCGCAUCGAGGGCUCGAAAAAAUGCUCGGCUCCGGCUGGGCUUUCAACGCGACCCCAGGUCAGGCGGGGUUACCCGCUGAAUUUAAGCAUAUCAAUAAGCGGAGGA
This 391-nucleotide unclassified non-coding RNA is filed under the name soil metagenome. Its description in RNAcentral is "partial contains 5.8S ribosomal RNA, internal transcribed spacer 2, and large subunit ribosomal RNA". The stretch from base 1 to 122 matches the Rfam family "5.8S ribosomal RNA", at positions 35 to 154 of the family's 154-position model. The record is from RNAcentral.